RNAcentral lists this ribosomal RNA (412 nucleotides) under Arthrobacter oryzae. RNAcentral describes it as "bacterial SSU rRNA". It matches the Rfam family "Bacterial small subunit ribosomal RNA", at positions 1 to 413 of the family's 1533-position model. The record is from RNAcentral. Lineage: Bacteria; Bacillati; Actinomycetota; Actinomycetes; Micrococcales; Micrococcaceae.
AUUUUAGAGUUUGAUCCAUGGCUCAGGAUGAGCGCUGGCGGCGUGCUUAACACAUGCAAGUCGAACGAUGACCUCCAGCUUGCUGGGGUGAUUAGUGGCGAACGGGUGAGUAACACGUGAGUAACCUGCCCUUAACUCUGGGAUAAGCCUGGGAAACUGGGUCUAAUACCGGAUAUGACUCCUCAUCGCAUGGUGGGGGGUGGAAAGCUUUUUGUGGUUUUGGAUGGACUCGCGGCCUAUCAGCUUGUUGGUGAGGUAAUGGCUCACCAAGGCGACGACGGGUAGCCGGCCUGAGAGGGUGACCGGCCACACUGGGACUGAGACACGGCCCAGACUCCUACGGGAGGCAGCAGUGGGGAAUAUUGCACAAUGGGCGCAAGCCUGAUGCAGCGACGCCGCGUGAGGGAUUUCU